RNAcentral lists this ribosomal RNA (611 nucleotides) under Gammaproteobacteria bacterium. RNAcentral describes it as "bacterial SSU rRNA". It matches the Rfam family "Bacterial small subunit ribosomal RNA", at positions 56 to 655 of the family's 1533-position model. Lineage: Bacteria; Pseudomonadati; Pseudomonadota; Gammaproteobacteria. The record is from RNAcentral.
UGCAGUCGAGCGGUAACAUUUCAAAAGCUUGCUUUUGAAGAUGACGAGCGGCGGACGGGUGAGUAAUGCCUGGGAAUUUGCCCAUUUGUGGGGGAUAACAGUUGGAAACGACUGCUAAUACCGCAUACGCCCUACGGGGGAAAGCAGGGGACCUUCGGGCCUUGCGCUGAUGGAUAAGCCCAGGUGGGAUUAGCUAGUAGGUGAGGUAAAGGCUCACCUAGGCGACGAUCCCUAGCUGGUCUGAGAGGAUGAUCAGCCACACUGGGACUGAGACACGGCCCAGACUCCUACGGGAGGCAGCAGUGGGGAAUAUUGCACAAUGGGGGAAACCCUGAUGCAGCCAUGCCGCGUGUGUGAAGAAGGCCUUCGGGUUGUAAAGCACUUUCAGCGAGGAGGAAAGGGUGUAAGUUAAUACCUUACAUCUGUGACGUUACUCGCAGAAGAAGCACCGGCUAACUCCGUGCCAGCAGCCGCGGUAAUACGGAGGGUGCGAGCGUUAAUCGGAAUUACUGGGCGUAAAGCGUGCGCAGGCGGUUUGUUAAGCGAGAUGUGAAAGCCCCGGGCUCAACCUGGGAACCGCAUUUCGAACUGGCAAACUAGAGUCCUGUAGA